GGUUGGGUUGACCCGACUGUAGAUUUUCUUUUUUUUUUUCUUUCCUUUUUUCUCUCUUUUUCUCCUUCUUUUUUCUUUCUUUUUCUUCUUCUUCUUCGGGUCACACCUUUGCCCCACGCCGUAGCCGUCCUUUGCGCCAAACUCCUCCGCCCUCAGUGGCUAUGGAUGGCUCCCCUCUUCCCUUUUCCUUCUCCCUUUCUCCUUUCCUUUACUUCUUUUCUCCCUCCCUUUCUAUUUGGUUGCUGUUUUUUACUUAAUUUUUAUUUUCGUGUUGCUUGUUGUUUUUCUUUUCUUUUUGUUUCGGUUUCCCUUGGCUUCUAGGUGGUGGUGCGGUGGUUGCGGUGGCGGGGUAAUGGCGCGACGGUGGCGAUGGCUUUUGGGCUGCUGUGGCAGUGGAGCAAUCAUGGCCUAGGGAGGCUGCUGGAGUAGCUCGACUGCCGAUUUGUUGAUUUGACAAGUCUAGAAGGACUAAAUUGUAGAGGGCGCAAAGUUUCUGGGGUAAAAAUACAAUUUUAGGAAAAUAUAGGGCUAAAGUGUAAUUUCGAGAAAGUUUAGGGCCCAAGUGUAAUUUACAAAAUAUUAGGGAUCAAGAUGUAAUUUUUUUGUUUUUGUAUUUUUUUUUUAAAUUUAAAAAAAAAACGAAAUCGAGCCGGACAAAAUUCAGUGAUUACAUUCCUCAAAGUUUUUAAUGCUUUCUAGAGGAAAUUCCUAUUGUUUUGAUCUAAUAGCUCCUUCAUAUUCAAAGGUAGCAUUCUACUUAGCAUGUAGUAGAGGGAAAUAGUUACAAU
Long non-coding RNA from Gossypium raimondii (Peruvian cotton), 788 nucleotides. RefSeq lists it as uncharacterized. Lineage: Eukaryota; Viridiplantae; Streptophyta; Magnoliopsida; Malvales; Malvaceae. The transcript has 2 exons. The record is from RefSeq and is a predicted model, not a curated record.